AGCUAAAUUUAUACAUGCAAGUAUCCGCACCCCUGUGAGAAUGCCCCACAGUUCCCCGCCCGGGAACAAGGAGCCGGUAUCAGGCACGACCCCCCCCCCCCCAGCCCAUGACACCUUGCUAAGCCACACCCCCAAGGGAAUUCAGCAGUGAUAAACAUUAAGCCAUGAGUGAAAACUUGACUUAGUUAAAGCUUAGAGAGCCGGUAAAACUCGUGCCAGCCACCGCGGUUAUACGAGAGGCUCAAGUUAACAGACAACGGCGUAAAGAGUGGUUAGGGAAAUAUUUAAACUAAAGCCGAACGACCUCAGAGCUGUCGAACGCUUACGAGCCAAGAAGCCCCAUUACGAAAGUAGCUUUAUUUUACCUGACCCCACGAAAGCUGAGAAACAAACUGGGAUUAGAUACCCCACUAUGCUCAGCCCUAAACUUUGAUAGGCCCCUACGCCCCCCUAUCCGCCCGGGUACUACGAGCACGAGCUUGAAACCCAAAGGACUUGGCGGUGCUUCACAUCCGUCUAGAGGAGCCUGUUCUAGAACCGAUAACCCCCGUUAAACCUCACCCUCCCUUGUUAGCCCCGCCUAUAUACCGCCGUCGUCAGCCUACCCUGUGAAGGCCCAGAAGUGAGCAAGAUUGGUAAAGCCCAAAACGUCAGGUCGAGGUGUAGUGUAUGAGAGGGGAAGAAAUGGGCUACAUUUCCUAAUUCAGGAAAUACGAACAAUGAACUGAAAUAAGCAUUAGAAGGUGGAUUUAGCAGUAAGCAGGAAAACAGAGUGUUCCGCUGAAAAAUGGCCAUAAAGCACGCACACACCGCCCGUCACUCUCCCCAAGUCAACCUUACAAUAAUUUAGUACCUAAAAAAUUGCACCUGCAAAGGGGAGGCAAGUCGUAACAUGGUAAGUGUAC
Molecule: non-coding RNA, 905 nt
Filed under: Chrysiptera rex (king demoisselle)
Lineage: Eukaryota; Metazoa; Chordata; Actinopteri; Pomacentridae
Description: partial 12S ribosomal RNA
Rfam family: Bacterial small subunit ribosomal RNA
Source: RNAcentral